RNAcentral lists this ribosomal RNA (440 nucleotides) under uncultured bacterium. RNAcentral describes it as "partial 16S ribosomal RNA". It matches the Rfam family "Bacterial small subunit ribosomal RNA", at positions 338 to 795 of the family's 1533-position model. The record is from RNAcentral.
CCUACGGGCGGCAGCAGUGGGGGAUAUUGCACAAUGGGGGAAACCCUGAUGCAGCGACGCCGCGUGGGUGAAGAAGCGCCUCGGCGCGUAAAGCCCUGUCAGCAGGGAAGAAAAUGACGGUACCUGAAGAAGAAGCACCGGCUAACUACGUGCCAGCAGCCGCGGGAAUACGUAGGGGGCAAGCGUUAGCCGGAUGUACGGGGUGUAAAGGGGGCGAAGACGGCGAUGCAAGCCAGGAGUGAAAGCCCGGGGCCCAACCCCGGGACGGCUCUUGGAACUGCGUGGCUAGAGUGCAGGAGGGGCAGGCGGAAUUCCUGGUGUAGCGGUGAAAUGCGUAGAUAUCAGGAGGAACACCGGUGGCGAAGGCGGCCUGCUGGACUGCAACUGACGUUGAGGCCCGAAAGCGUGGGGAGCAAACAGGAUUAGAUACCCUUGUAGUC